This 238-nucleotide unclassified non-coding RNA is filed under the name Hevea brasiliensis (rubber tree). Lineage: Eukaryota; Viridiplantae; Streptophyta; Magnoliopsida; Malpighiales; Euphorbiaceae. The record is from RNAcentral.
AGCAGUUAUCUUCAGGAUUUUCCCACCACAAUGAUGCAACAGAUUUUGUUCUUAAAGGUUUCUCUUCCUUAAUUGAUUCUGAUGAGUCAGCAAAUGGUUCAGACCUGUUGAGUCGUGUUAACCGGACUCCAUCCGUCGCCUCCUUAGAAAACUUGGAUGAUGCAGUUCAUAAUUCAAGCUUGUUCUCUGUGGAAGGUUCAAGAAGCAAACCUCUACAACUGCCGCGGCAAUCCCCCAG